Molecule: long non-coding RNA, 440 nt
Organism: Cyprinus carpio carpio
Lineage: Eukaryota; Metazoa; Chordata; Actinopteri; Cypriniformes; Cyprinidae
Source: Ensembl
AUUGUAUAAACAAUUUAAAUAAAAUGAUUUACAUAUAUUUUAAGUGAAAUUAGUUGCAUUAAAUUGUUUGUUUUAAAUUUUUUACAUUUUGAUCAGAAUAAAAUGAAGAAAGUUUUAAUAUUAAAUAAAUAAUUGUUAUAAAAGUGAUUUACACAGACGUAAUUACAAUUAUUGACAUGAUUUAAUAUUUUAAAAUCUUUAUGCACAAUAUAGAUUCUUAUUUAUUCCCUUUGUUCUUGGGUUGAAAUAUGAUCUGAAAUUGUGGCAUGAUUUUGUGUGUCAAUGCACUGUGUUUUUAUGAUAAAAAAACCUACUUUAUCUCCUCUGUAGACUGGAAAAGAAGAUCAGCGAUGGAUCUUAAAAAUAAAUGUAGGUGUGACAGAAGAAGAGUUUUCUCUCAUCUCGCGCAUCCAAGCAUGUGCCAAGUGUUGCCACGGUAA